This 445-nucleotide ribosomal RNA is filed under the name uncultured bacterium. RNAcentral's name for it is "partial 16S ribosomal RNA". It matches the Rfam family "Bacterial small subunit ribosomal RNA", at positions 354 to 796 of the family's 1533-position model. The record is from RNAcentral.
GUGAGGAAUAUUGCGCAAUGGAGGCAACUCUGACGCAGCCAUGCCGCGUGCAGGAAGAAGGCGCUACGCGUUGUAAACUGCUUUUAACCGGGAAGAAACCCCAGGACGUGUCCUGGGUUGACGGUACCGGAGGAAUAAGCACCGGCUAACUUCGUGCCAGCAGCCGCGGUAAUACGAAGGGUGCAAGCGUUAUCCGGAUUCAUUGGGUUUAAAGGGUGCGUAGGCGGAGCGUUAAGUCAGUGGUGAAAUCCUGCAGCUUAACUGUAGAAUUGCCAUUGAUACUGGCGCUCUUGAGUGCGCUUGAAGUGGGCGGAAUGUGCCGUGUAGCGGUGAAAUGCUUAGAUAUGGCACAGAACACCAAUUGCGAAGGCAGCUCACUAAGGCGAUACUGACGCUGAGGCACGAAAGCGUGGGGAUCGAACAGGAUUAGAAACCCCAGUAGUCC